RNAcentral lists this ribosomal RNA (440 nucleotides) under uncultured bacterium. Its description in RNAcentral is "partial 16S ribosomal RNA". It matches the Rfam family "Bacterial small subunit ribosomal RNA", at positions 339 to 795 of the family's 1533-position model. The record is from RNAcentral.
CUACGGGCCGCAGCAGUGGGGAAUAUUGCGCAAUGGGCGAAAGCCUGACGCAGCAACGCCGCGUGAGCGAUGAAGGCCUUCGGGUUGUAAAGCUCUGUCGAAUGGGAAGAAUUUUGACGGUACCAUUAGAGGAAGCCCCGGCUAACUCCGUGCCAGCAGCCGCGGUAAUACGGAGGGGGCAAGCGUUGUUCGGAAUCAUUGGGCGUAAAGCGUAUGUAGGCGGCCGAAUAAGUCAGACGUGUAAGCCCAUGGCUCAACCAUGGAAUUGCGUUUGAAACUAUUUGGCUUGAGUGCAGGAGAGGAAAGCGGAAUUCCCAGUGUAGCGGUGAAAUGCAUUGAUAUUGGGAAGAACAUCGGUGGCGAAGGCGGCUUUCUGGUCUGUAACUGACGCUGAGAUACGAAAGCCAGGGGAGCGAACGGGAUUAGAUACCCGAGUAGUC